AUCUCUAUAGUUGAACACAACGGCAGCUUUUCACGCUGCAAGUUUGGGUUAGACCCCCAAUAGAGAUU
RNAcentral lists this transfer RNA (68 nucleotides) under Asteropsis carinifera. RNAcentral describes it as "tRNA-Glu". It matches the Rfam family "tRNA". From Rfam's summary of the family: Transfer RNA (tRNA) molecules are approximately 80 nucleotides in length. Their secondary structure includes four short double-helical elements and three loops (D, anti-codon, and T loops). Further hydrogen bonds mediate the characteristic L-shaped molecular structure. tRNAs have two regions of fundamental functional importance: the anti-codon, which is responsible for specific mRNA codon recognition, and the 3' end, to which the tRNAs corresponding amino acid is attached (by aminoacyl-tRNA synthetases). tRNAs cope with the degeneracy of the genetic code in two manners: having more than one tRNA (with a specific anti-codon) for a particular amino acid; and 'wobble' base-pairing, i.e. permitting non-standard base-pairing at the 3rd anti-codon position. The record is from RNAcentral. Lineage: Eukaryota; Metazoa; Echinodermata; Asteroidea; Valvatida; Asteropseidae.